Molecule: ribosomal RNA, 581 nt
Filed under: Staphylococcus sp.
Lineage: Bacteria; Bacillati; Bacillota; Bacilli; Caryophanales; Staphylococcaceae
Description: bacterial SSU rRNA
Rfam family: Bacterial small subunit ribosomal RNA
Source: RNAcentral
AGCAGUAGGGAUCUUCCGCAUGGACGAAAGUCUGACGGAGCAACGCCGCGUGAGUGAUGAAGGUUUUCGGAUCGUAAAACUCUGUUAUUAGGGAAGAACAAAUGCGUAAGUAACUGUGCGCAUCUUGACGGUACCUAAUCAGAAAGCCACGGCUAACUACGUGCCAGCAGCCGCGGUAAUACGUAGGUGGCAAGCGUUAUCCGGAAUUAUUGGGCGUAAAGCGCGCGUAGGCGGUUUCUUAAGUCUGAUGUGAAAGCCCACGGCUCAACCGUGGAGGGUCAUUGGAAACUGGGAAACUUGAGUACAGAAGAGGAAAGUGGAAUUCCAUGUGUAGCGGUGAAAUGCGCAGAGAUAUGGAGGAACACCAGUGGCGAAGGCGACUUUCUGGUCUGUAACUGACGCUGAUGUGCGAAAGCGUGGGGAUCAAACAGGAUUAGAUACCCUGGUAGUCCACGCCGUAAACGAUGAGUGCUAAGUGUUAGGGGGUUUCCGCCCCUUAGUGCUGCAGCUAACGCAUUAAGCACUCCGCCUGGGGAGUACGACCGCAAGGUUGAAACUCAAAGGAAUUGACGGGGCCUGUA